Long non-coding RNA from Dermochelys coriacea (leatherback sea turtle), 379 nucleotides. RefSeq lists it as uncharacterized. Lineage: Eukaryota; Metazoa; Chordata; Testudines; Dermochelyidae. The transcript is spliced from 2 exons. The record is from RefSeq and is a predicted model, not a curated record.
AAGUUAGGGCUGAGGCAGUCUCUGGGGAAAGCUACCGUGAGCCCUCUGCAGGCUUUGCCUAGGAGGAGUUAUGAGGAAGCCAGCAGAGGGGCUAGCCUGCUGCCUUUCCUGAGUAAAGCCAGGGAAGUUUAAAAGGGAUUACAUGGCUGGAUUUCAGAUGGUGUUAUCAGUGUGUUUAGGCUAGAACUGAACUGAAGCUGAAAUUUGAGAAGGAACUUAUUGCAGUGCUUGGGUGUGGAUUAUUUUCCUUCAUGUCUCUUCCAUUUUAUAUAGCACAUUGCUGCAGGCAGCUAUAUGCUGUCCAAGUUUUAUAUGCUAGUGUUGAUGAUCAUUUAUAAAGCACUAGAGGUGAAUAAAUCCCUUUCCAAAGAUGCAACAA